This 1536-nucleotide ribosomal RNA is filed under the name Klebsiella variicola. Its description in RNAcentral is "bacterial SSU rRNA". The record is from RNAcentral. Lineage: Bacteria; Pseudomonadati; Pseudomonadota; Gammaproteobacteria; Enterobacterales; Enterobacteriaceae.
UUGAAGAGUUUGAUCAUGGCUCAGAUUGAACGCUGGCGGCAGGCCUAACACAUGCAAGUCGAGCGGUAGCACAGAGAGCUUGCUCUCGGGUGACGAGCGGCGGACGGGUGAGUAAUGUCUGGGAAACUGCCUGAUGGAGGGGGAUAACUACUGGAAACGGUAGCUAAUACCGCAUAAYGUCGCAAGACCAAAGUGGGGGACCUUCGGGCCUCAUGCCAUCAGAUGUGCCCAGAUGGGAUUAGCURGUAGGUGGGGUAACGGCUCACCUAGGCGACGAUCCCUAGCUGGUCUGAGAGGAUGACCAGCCACACUGGAACUGAGACACGGUCCAGACUCCUACGGGAGGCAGCAGUGGGGAAUAUUGCACAAUGGGCGCAAGCCUGAUGCAGCCAUGCCGCGUGUGUGAAGAAGGCCUUCGGGUUGUAAAGCACUUUCAGCGGGGAGGAAGGCGGUGAGGUUAAUAACCUCAYCGAUUGACGUUACCCGCAGAAGAAGCACCGGCUAACUCCGUGCCAGCAGCCGCGGUAAUACGGAGGGUGCAAGCGUUAAUCGGAAUUACUGGGCGUAAAGCGCACGCAGGCGGUCUGUCAAGUCGGAUGUGAAAUCCCCGGGCUCAACCUGGGAACUGCAUUCGAAACUGGCAGGCUAGAGUCUUGUAGAGGGGGGUAGAAUUCCAGGUGUAGCGGUGAAAUGCGUAGAGAUCUGGAGGAAUACCGGUGGCGAAGGCGGCCCCCUGGACAAAGACUGACGCUCAGGUGCGAAAGCGUGGGGAGCAAACAGGAUUAGAUACCCUGGUAGUCCACGCUGUAAACGAUGUCGAUUUGGAGGUUGUGCCCUUGAGGCGUGGCUUCCGGAGCUAACGCGUUAAAUCGACCGCCUGGGGAGUACGGCCGCAAGGUUAAAACUCAAAUGAAUUGACGGGGGCCCGCACAAGCGGUGGAGCAUGUGGUUUAAUUCGAUGCAACGCGAAGAACCUUACCUGGUCUUGACAUCCACAGAACUUUCCAGAGAUGGAUUGGUGCCUUCGGGAACUGUGAGACAGGUGCUGCAUGGCUGUCGUCAGCUCGUGUUGUGAAAUGUUGGGUUAAGUCCCGCAACGAGCGCAACCCUUAUCCUUUGUUGCCAGCGGUYMGGCCGGGAACUCAAAGGAGACUGCCAGUGAUAAACUGGAGGAAGGUGGGGAUGACGUCAAGUCAUCAUGGCCCUUACGACCAGGGCUACACACGUGCUACAAUGGCAUAUACAAAGAGAAGCGACCUCGCGAGAGCAAGCGGACCUCAUAAAGUAUGUCGUAGUCCGGAUUGGAGUCUGCAACUCGACUCCAUGAAGUCGGAAUCGCUAGUAAUCGUAGAUCAGAAUGCUACGGUGAAUACGUUCCCGGGCCUUGUACACACCGCCCGUCACACCAUGGGAGUGGGUUGCAAAAGAAGUAGGUAGCUUAACCUUCGGGAGGGCGCUUACCACUUUGUGAUUCAUGACUGGGGUGAAGUCGUAACAAGGUAACCGUAGGGGAACCUGCGGUUGGAUCACCUCCUU